RNAcentral lists this unclassified non-coding RNA (346 nucleotides) under soil metagenome. RNAcentral describes it as "partial contains 5.8S ribosomal RNA, internal transcribed spacer 2, and large subunit ribosomal RNA". The stretch from base 1 to 120 matches the Rfam family "5.8S ribosomal RNA", at positions 35 to 154 of the family's 154-position model. The record is from RNAcentral.
GAUGAAGAACGCAGCAAAAUGCGAUAAGUAAUGUGAAUUGCAGAAUUCAGUGAAUCAUCGAAUCUUUGAACGCACAUUGCGCCCGCCAGUAUUCUGGCGGGCAUGCCUGUUCGAGCGUCAUUUCAACCCUCAAGCCCUCGGGUUUGGUGUUGGGGAUCGGCGAGCCUUUCUGGCAAGCCGGCCCCGAAAUCUAGUGGCGGUCUCGCUGCAGCCUCCAUUGCGUAGUAGUAAAACCCUCGCAACUGGAACGCGGCGCGGCCAAGCCGUUAAACCCCCAACUUCUGAAUGUUGACAUCGGAUCAGGUAGGAAUACCCGCUGAACUUAAGCAUAUCAAUAAGCGGAGGA